This 247-nucleotide ribosomal RNA is filed under the name Bacillus cereus. Its description in RNAcentral is "partial 16S ribosomal RNA". It matches the Rfam family "Bacterial small subunit ribosomal RNA", at positions 555 to 801 of the family's 1533-position model. Lineage: Bacteria; Bacillati; Bacillota; Bacilli; Caryophanales; Bacillaceae. The record is from RNAcentral.
UGGGCGUAAGCGCGCGCAGGUGGUUUCUUAAGUCUGAUGUGAAAGCCCACGCCUCUACCGUGGAGGGUCAUUGGAAACUGGGAGACUUGAGUGCCUAAGAGGAAAGUGGAAUUCCAUGUGUAGCGGUGAAAUGCGUAGAGAUAUGGAGGAACACCAGUGGCGAAGGCUUCCUCCCGGUCUGUAACUGACACUGAGGCGCGAAAGCGUGGGGAGCAAAAAGGAUUACCUACCCUGUCCACCCCCCGCC